UUAUUGGAGAGUUUGAUCCUGGCUCAGGAUGAACGCUGGCGGCGUGCCUAAUACAUGCAAGUCGAGCGAAUGGAUUAAGAGCUUGCUCUUAUGAAGUUAGCGGCGGACGGGUGAGUAACACGUGGGUAACCUGCCCAUAAGACUGGGAUAACUCCGGGAAACCGGGGCUAAUACCGGAUAACAUUUUGAACUGCAUGGUUCGAAAUUGAAAGGCGGCUUCGGCUGUCACUUAUGGAUGGACCCGCGUCGCAUUAGCUAGUUGGUGAGGUAACGGCUCACCAAGGCAACGAUGCGUAGCCGACCUGAGAGGGUGAUCGGCCACACUGGGACUGAGACA
This 337-nucleotide ribosomal RNA is filed under the name Bacillus cereus. Its description in RNAcentral is "bacterial SSU rRNA". It matches the Rfam family "Bacterial small subunit ribosomal RNA", at positions 1 to 326 of the family's 1533-position model. RNAcentral also lists the same sequence under 2 other names. The record is from RNAcentral. Lineage: Bacteria; Bacillati; Bacillota; Bacilli; Caryophanales; Bacillaceae.